This 469-nucleotide ribosomal RNA is filed under the name uncultured bacterium. RNAcentral describes it as "partial 16S ribosomal RNA". It matches the Rfam family "Bacterial small subunit ribosomal RNA", at positions 28 to 507 of the family's 1533-position model. The record is from RNAcentral.
GAUGAACGCUGGCGGCGCGCCUAACACAUGCAAGUCGAACGGUUAAAGCACCUUUUAGGUGUGUAUAGAGUGGCGAACGGCUGAGUAACACGUGGGCAACCUGCCCUCCUCUUGGUGAUAGCCUCGGGAAACCGAGGAUAAUACCCGAUACUUCAAUGUGGCCGCAUGACGACAUUGAGAAAGCUUUUGCGGAGAAGGAUGGGCCCGCGGCCUGUUAGCUUGUUGGUGGGGUAGAGGCCUACCAAGGCAAUGAUGGGUAGCUGGGUUGAGAGACCGACCAGACAGAAUGGGAGUGAGACACGGCCCAGACUCCUACGGGAGGCAGCAGUGGGGAAUCUUGCACAAUGGGCGAAAGCAUGAUGCAGCGACGACGCGGGCGGGACGAAGGCCUUCGGGUUGUAAACCGCUUUCAGCAGGGACGAGGCGAUAAGUGACGGUACCUGCAGAAGAAGCCCCGGCUAACUACGUG